AGAAGAGCCACCGCUGCUGGCCACGCGCAGCGCUAGCAGAGGGGAGCGAGGAGGAGACGCCUCCCUAGCAUUUACUAGGAUGAGUUGGGUUAAUGCAGUGGGCAGGGCAGGCGGCCUGCAUUCCUCGCCCUCCUAGCGCCCUGUGUGUUUUAUUCGGAGACACGUUUAGGCGCAAGUGAUGCCCCGCAGCUUGUGCCAGUUGGAAAUAUGCAAACAGGCUGGCAAGUCAGUUCCUUCCCUUCAGGUCCUGCUGCUCACAGGGUACUGGACGUGACGCUCCAGCGCUGAUCUGUCUCUAACCUCCCCCUUUCAGGCUCUCAAGCUGAGGUAGUGGCAAGUGGGACUGUUGACUAAGGUUUCAUGAGCCAUGGGAACAAGGGUAGGUGCAAACUGUGCGGUGCUGCCAGCUGGGAGAGAAGCCUGAGGCAGAAGCCUUCAGCUCACAAUAUUCCAGGCAAGACAAUCUCCAUGAGAGAAAAGUUAAAGACGAGAAUGACCUGGAGUCACUCCCACUUAUGUCCAGGCGCCACUCACUGAGGUCAGCCAGGAGCAUGCAUGUCUGCCCAGGCACCCCGACCGAGCUCACUGAGGUCAGCCAGGAGCACCUAGGAGACGACGACAAGCAGUUGUAUUGCAUUGUCUGCUACCGCAAAGGCAAGGAGCUGCUGCUGUGUGGCAAUGUAGUACCACAUCUGUUAGCAGCACCCAGGAGACAAAACGGUGAUGGUGACCUGAGUGGGCUCCAUGCUUGCUGUGAUAUGUCAUCCGCACAGGUGCCUUUGCAGGUGAAUUACUCGGGUAGAUUGAGGACCAAGGCAUCUUUUUUUUCCCUGUGGCAGUUUACAGGGACAGUUCUGAGAAACAUGAACAGUAUUUCCAAGCAGCUGACUCAUCUACAGAGAUCUCAGACCCAGCUGGGAAGGAAUAAAUGAAUGACCAGACUUGGUUCAGAACUUGGAUGUACUACUACUAGAGGGAAGUAUUAGUCUUGUAAUAAAAGCAUAAGACUAAAAAUCUGGUUCUCUGUCUGGAUCUGCCAUGGACUUCCUGUGUAGCUUUGGGCAAACCACCUCUGUAUCUCAGUUUUCAGAUCUAGAAACUUGUGAUAGCCAUAUUAAGGAUUAAAUGUACAGCAUUUUAAAGCACUAAUUAAGGAUUAAUUACACUCUACUGUUCCUGUUAAAUACACUGCACCUCACAGUGCUCUAAGUAGCAGUACAAGUAAUUUGACCCAGUAGGGAAACUUAUGAACAUGGCAAGAUAGUUGGGACAGUGAAAAAAAGACACCCUCAGUUAUGAUCAUGACAGAUUUUAAAACACAAAUUCAGCAUUUACUAAGAGUUUCUGCUAAAUUUUUGGCUUAGAAGUUUACAGUAACUUUGUAUUAAGUAGUAAUAAGAAGGGAAAGAAAUGACAAUACAGAGGCAGCCAUUUCCCCCAAUAUUCCAUGUGCAUAUGAAAGCAACUCAGUGGUUUCAAGACAAGAAAUAUUUUCCAUCACUGUACUGUAAAAGUUAAUUGCUAAUUAUAUUUGUGCAAAAUGGCCAAGUCAUUGUUGAUACUGGGAACCAUAAGUGAAUUUCUUGGGUUUUGGAUGGAAAGUAAACCAAAAUUUUAACACUAGUUUUUGCUUAAAUAUUUUUGUAUUACUGUAUUUAAGCACACACAUUUAUAAGUGUGGAUCACAUGUAAUUUCAAACACUGAAUUGUGCUCCAAGUACACACCACCCUAUAGAACAUGAAAAGCUUGAAUUUUGCAACAAAAAAAGACUAACUCAACUGAGACCCCUUUUUCAGAUAUUUAAAAAGGUUUGAGAGAAAAGACAUCUGAAGGGAGAAUGAAGACCGCUGAGAGGAUCAAUGGCACAGCACUUGUGUGCUAACACAGUUCCAUACACUGGGUACAGUUAAGAACAUUUCAGAAAUAUAGCAGCUAAUGUAAAAAUUGUUAGAGACCUGAUAAUUUUAGAAGUUAGAAUUUAAUGUAUUACAGCUGCCUUCUUGCAAGACACCUUACAUAACAGGCUCUGUGUCCACUCUUCUCUCCGUCACUUGUUAGAGUUUGCAUUCCAUGUCAUAGCUGCUGCCCCUUCCUGGUCCAAGUUGAAAUAAAUUCUACUAGUUCAAGAUGAAUGCCAGUUGACUUCACCCCCCGGAUUCUAGCGGGUGCUUUUUUCUCUCCUACUUUCAUAAAGUGUAAUAAUCUAAUGGGGAGUUUAAGACUUGAUUCUGAAGAUUAAAUAAUUAAAAUAGAUUAUUCAUUAGAAAAAUACAUUGCAGUCUUCUGGUAACCAGUGAAAGAGGCACAAUAGAAGAGGCUGAAUUGAUCUGCUAACAUUUCAAAUAGUUUGUUUAAACUAAGAAUGAGAAAUUACAGACCAAAAUGUAAUUCCAGCAAUAUUUAAGCCCUAGCAAAAAGACAUUUAGACAUCAGAGAGCCUUCUCAAAGUACAUUAACUUUACACUUAAAACAUCAACACCCAAGAAUGCAUUAUUAAAUAAAUCUUCCCUCAUGGGAGGAGACUUGAGGACUACUCUGUGACAGGAAGGAUUGAAAGGGUCUAAAAAGAGGGAUAAGGAAAAGAGAAAAUGUAAGCCUGUGUUAAGAUUAAAAGUGGAAGUUAAAUGCCUUUCCUAAAACAGCCACUCAUAGCAGACAUUAGAGUACUAGAAUUAGUUAUUAUUGGAGCAGAAUACCAGAUAAAGUCAUAAUAGUUCCAGUGCUACUCAUAUUUAGGUGGUGUCUCAAACGCAAGUAUGACCAUCAAAAAUACAUACAAAGAGACAUCUGGACAGUAACAAAAUAUAACUAAACAAAAUUCAUUAUACCUAUUACAAAUAUAAAAUUAAAAACAAGUCACAGCUUAUAAGUAACAAGUAAGUCAAAUGUUAAUAUUUAUAUUAAAAAGGCAUUAAAUUAUUAAGAAAGUAAACACGGGCUAAAGUGACCAGAGCGAACAGGCAAGGAAUAAAGCCAUCAUACAAAAACAGGUACAGAAAACACUGAAGACAAGCCUGAAUAUCACGGAUAUAUUUAAAAACACCACAUUUUCAUUCUCAUUAAUUUGCCAGUACAUUCCAUACCUUUCAGGUACAUUCCUGUUUUGUCUUUAGGACCUAAGCUCUUGAGGGUAAAACUUAAGAUUAUGCAGUGUCUAGCAAUGUGGUUCUGGUCAGGACUGGUGGAUGCUACCACAGUAUAAUUGUUACAUAUAAAAAGAAAACCCCCACUUUAAAAGAACAUGCACGUUGUAAGUUAAGUACUCAAAAGUCUGGAAGUUUCAGACCUCAGGUGCAACUUUAAUUCAGCUACCUUGUACAUGUGCAUGAAUUAUGUUAGUCUAAUUAUGAUCAAAGUAUUUAAUUGACAGGACCCCUGCCUGAAUCAGUGCACAGGAUUGUGUAGUUGAGGACCUGUCUCAUUUGUUAUAGAAGUUAGAAUGGGUACAGAGAAUAAGGCAGGGAUUACAGAAAGAGAGAGAGAAAGGACUCAUGGUUAAGGCAGUUGAAUGUCACUCCAGAGAGCUGCAUUCUAUUCUCACUUUUCACACAGUUCCUGAUGCUGGGGAAAUUACUUAAACCAAACUUCAUAGGUGACCACUACCUGUUUUCUUCAUUUUCUGAAUGCCUAACUCAAGACACCUUAAGCUCACUGCAACUGAAGUCAGCUGUAGUUGUGCUCUCAACAUAUCAAGUACUACAAAAAGGCUAAGUAAUUUUGUUUUAAAUGGCCAUAUGCAUCUCAAAUUAGGCAUGCAAUAUGAAUGUAUGCUUUCAGCCUUAAUCUCUUUGCUUCAACUCAUUCUCCAUAAAAUUGGGUUAUCCCUGUCUCAAGAGUGUUGGGAAGACAACUUCAUUAAUGUUUGAAGCACUCAGAUGCUACGGUAGACACCUCAGAAAGACUAGGCAGAAAUUAAUUAAUCUUUAUUCAGUGCAGUUUGGACAAUGUGAAGUAAAUAAGAACUAGGACCACAUUUCUUUUUAUCCUUAUCUUUCAGUAUAUCGAACAGCUACCCAUUUAGUGAGUAGCGUUCAUCCUGUACAUCUAAAUUCUGGCAUUUCUCCA
Molecule: long non-coding RNA, 4066 nt
Organism: Gopherus evgoodei (Goodes thornscrub tortoise)
Lineage: Eukaryota; Metazoa; Chordata; Testudines; Testudinidae
Exons: 4
Source: RefSeq, a predicted model, not a curated record